GCGAAAGCCUGAACCAGCGACGCCGCGUGGAGGACGAAGGCCGAAAGGUCGUAAACUCCUUUUGUAAGGGAAAAAGGAAUGGAGUGCAAAUAGUGCUUCAUUCUUGAUUGUACCUUGCGAAUAAGCCCCAGCCAACUACGUGCCAGCAGCUGCGGUAAAACGUAGGGGGCGAGCGUUAUCCGGAAUUACUGGGUGUAAAGGGUACGUAGGCGGAUUUACAAGUUGGGUAUAAAAACUUGAGGCUUAACCUCAAGCUUGUGCCCAAUACUGUAAGUCUGGAGAGCAGGAGAGGGAAGUGGAAUUCCCGGUGUAGCGGUAAAAUGCGUAGAUAUCGGGAGGAACACCAGUGGCGAAGGCGGCUUCCUGGCCUGUCUCUGACGCUCAGGUACGAAAGCUAGGGGAGCAAACAG
Molecule: ribosomal RNA, 410 nt
Filed under: uncultured bacterium
Lineage: Bacteria
Description: bacterial SSU rRNA
Rfam family: Bacterial small subunit ribosomal RNA
Source: RNAcentral